Molecule: non-coding RNA, 551 nt
Organism: Pelobates cultripes (western spadefoot toad)
Lineage: Eukaryota; Metazoa; Chordata; Amphibia; Anura; Pelobatidae
Source: the annotation of a GenBank genome assembly
UGGGUUUUUCACUGAUCAGAAACUUUGUCUCCGGUGUGAAUUACUUCUAGGGAAAGCGUGCACGCAUUAAUUAAACAAUUUGGAAGGUGUAGAUAGACAAAUAAUCAAAGUUUUCUUUGAUCCAAAACAAUUUGGUGGAGAAUGCGGGCAUGAAAGGGAUACGUUACUAAGGCAGCCGUCAGAUCCCAAGACAGGAGAGCAAAGGAUUCCCAGAGAUUGGAAACGGAGCCUGAUCACCUCUGCAUAUGGUAAAUGAGUUACUUACCUAUAUUUUCCUUUCUUUGGAUUUCUCUUGUUCUCCGUGCCUUCACAUUCGGCUUCCGGUGUUUAACGUCUUCAGACAGGUAAUAUAUAUAUGCCCGAAUGUCCCCUUUUAUAUAGAACCUGUCACUUGUCUAUCUACAGCCUGAGUCCUGAAUGUGAGUUUUAUGUGUGAAAGUGUCUGUUUGAGAAUCUGUUUUACUACUUGCUUAAUACUGUUAUAUAAUGCUGCCAAGUGUGGUUAAGCACUUGCAGGUUUAGCCAAGUUCGGGUUUGGUGGAAAACCCCUG